Long non-coding RNA from Prionailurus viverrinus (fishing cat), 943 nucleotides. RefSeq lists it as uncharacterized. The transcript has 3 exons. The record is from RefSeq and is a predicted model, not a curated record. NCBI's taxonomy places the organism in Eukaryota, Metazoa, Chordata, Mammalia, Carnivora, Felidae.
ACUCAAGAAAGUAUGUGUCUUACUGAAAGCACUCUGGCUGGAAAGCCCCAGAGUUCUAAGUAUGGCUCUUGAAAUCCCAGCAGUGCUUAUCAGGAAGGGAUUUCCCUUUAGUCACACACUCUGGCUAGCGACAUGCUCAGGUUCUCUACCUGUGGCCUGGGAUGGAGGGUAGAUAGAUUAUCAGGGAGCAGAUGGCUAGAGGUGGCUGGGCAUGGUGUGUAAGUCUCCAGACAGAUUCUGAAGCAUCUGACAAAGCACUUUUCUCCCUGCCAUCCCUUAUGAGGAUUAUGAUCUGAUCCUGUUUGAGGGAUGGGACCACUGAAGAUCAGAAGUGUCAAGGGAGCCCGAGGGGUCUGGGUCCUGGCUUUCAUCCGGGGCCCUUUCCAACCCUUGGAGCAGAUCAUCCCAACUCCAGCCUUGCACAAACUCUAAAGUGAUUUGCAAUAAAGAAUGUUAUGUUUUCCUGGCUGAAGAGUGAAUGAUUCACCAGCUUGGAUCUCGAUCAGCCACAAAAAGAGAAAAGGACCUUUGACAAAGCAGAAGAUCUCAUCUAGAGCCAACGGCAGGUGACCAAAGAAAGAGCAGAAACAAAGGCUUUGUGGCUCAACCACAUCUUUAUUUUCAGCCUGAUCAAGUGCCUUUCUGAUCAUGUAAAUUCAUUCAAUUGACUUUAUAGUAAAUUGGACAUGCCCAGAUCAGAAUCCGGCUCCUCUUCUAAGGAAGUCAGUCCUGAUUAAUCUGCUUCUACUGUAUUAGUUAAGGAGACGGACCUGUACGGAUUGCACCAAUGGGCUCUUUGGUCUUCUGCUUGAGUUGGGUUUGGUCAAGGAAGUCACUGGCAGAAAAACCGGAGAGUGUGGCCAAGCGUGAAAUGACUUUUUCCUGUGUGUGGAGUCUUCAAAUUUACCUCUGAAGCCCUGUGAACACAAGCCCUUGAAACCAG